RNAcentral lists this ribosomal RNA (679 nucleotides) under Staphylococcus aureus. Its description in RNAcentral is "bacterial SSU rRNA". It matches the Rfam family "Bacterial small subunit ribosomal RNA", at positions 830 to 1509 of the family's 1533-position model. Lineage: Bacteria; Bacillati; Bacillota; Bacilli; Caryophanales; Staphylococcaceae. The record is from RNAcentral.
UUUCCGCCCCUUAUUGCUGCAGCUAACGCAUUAAGCACUCCGCCGGGGGAGUACGACCGCAAGGUUGAAACUCAAAGGAAUUGACGGGGACCCGCACAAGCGGUGGAGCAUGUGGUUUAAUUCAAAGCAACGCGAAAAACCUUACCAAAUCUUGACAUCCUUUGACAACUCUAAAGAUAGAGCUUUCCCCUUCGGGGGACAAAGUGACAGGUGGUGCAUGGUUGUCGUCAGCUCGUGUCGUGAGAUGUUGGGUUAAGUCCCGCAACGAGCGCAACCCUUAAGCUUAAUUGCCAUCAUUAAGUUGGGCACUCUAAGUUGACUGCCGGUGACAAACCGGAGGAAGGUGGGGAUGACGUCAAAUCAUCAUGCCCCUUAUGAUUUGGGCUACACACGUGCUACAAUGGACAAUACAAAGGGCAGCGAAACCGCGAGGUCAAGCAAAUCCCAUAAAGUUGUUCUCAGUUCGGAUUGUAGUCUGCAACUCGACUACAUGAAGCUGGAAUCGCUAGUAAUCGUAAAUCAGCAUGCUACGGUGAAUACGUUCCCGGGUCUUGUACACACCGCCCGUCACACCACGAGAGUUUGUAACACCCGAAGCCGGUGGAGUAACCAUUUGGAGCUAGCCGUCGAAGGUGGGACAAAUGAUUGGGGUGAAGUCGUACAGGGGGACCCCGAAAAA